This 127-nucleotide small RNA is filed under the name Marmota monax (woodchuck). The record is from RNAcentral. Lineage: Eukaryota; Metazoa; Chordata; Mammalia; Rodentia; Sciuridae.
GCCAGGCAUAGUGGCUCACACCUGUAAUCCCAGCGGCUCAGGAGGCUGAGACAGGAGAAUUGCGAGUUUAAAGACAGCCUUAGCAACUUAGUGAGGCCCUAAGCAAUUCAGUGAGACCCUGUCUCUA